GCAGUAUCAGCUGGCAGUCUGCAGAGUCCAAGACCCACAGCAGAGUCGAGUCAAAAAGAAUGGCUCUGGAGCUGAGAGAUGCUCCUUCAGUAGCCAGCACAAGGAGCAAAACUUGCUUUUCCCAUUGGCUUGGCUUCCUGUAUCACCUCCAGAAAGUAGAGAUUCCACAAGUUUCCUGAUUCUUGAGCUUGCUUGAUCUAGAGAAGAUGAAGAAAUGGCCCACACCACAGCAUGCUCUGGAGAUCAUUAAUCAAAAGGUUGACAGUGAGCUGUCUUGGAGGAUAGGCCCAUGUUGGAUUCUCUCUCUUCACUGGCACCUGAUUCAGAAGUGUACAUCAAGGAAACACCAAUGUUUUUGUCAGACACUGAGG
RNAcentral lists this long non-coding RNA (371 nucleotides) under Equus asinus (donkey). RNAcentral describes it as "lncRNA (ENSEASG00005024003.1)". Lineage: Eukaryota; Metazoa; Chordata; Mammalia; Perissodactyla; Equidae. The record is from RNAcentral.